RNAcentral lists this ribosomal RNA (482 nucleotides) under uncultured bacterium. RNAcentral describes it as "bacterial SSU rRNA". It matches the Rfam family "Bacterial small subunit ribosomal RNA", at positions 28 to 499 of the family's 1533-position model. The record is from RNAcentral.
GAUGAACGCUAGCGAUAGGCCUAACACAUGCAAGUCGAGGGGCAUCACAUGAAGUAGCAAUACGGAUGGUGGCGACCGGCGCACGGGUGAGUAACACGUAUGCAACCUGCCUUCAACAAGGGGAUAACCCGUUGAAAGACGGACUAAUACCCUAUAACACAGGGGUCCCGCAUGGGAAUAUUUGUUAAAGGACAACCGGUUGAAGAUGGGCAUGCGUUCCAUUAGCUAGUUGGCGGGGUAACGGCCCACCAAGGCAACGAUGGAUAGGGGAACUGAGAGGUUUAUCCCCCACACUGGUACUGAGACACGGACCAGACUCCUACGGGAGGCAGCAGUGAGGAAUAUUGGUCAAUGGACGCAAGUCUGAACCAGCCACGUCGCGUGAAGGAAGACGGCCCUACGGGUUGUAAACUUCUUUUAUACGGGAAUAAAGUGCCCCACGCGUGGGGUUUUGCAUGUACCGUAUGAAUAAGGAUCGGCUA